This is a long non-coding RNA of Astyanax mexicanus (Mexican tetra), 832 nucleotides long. RefSeq lists it as uncharacterized. The transcript is spliced from 5 exons. NCBI's taxonomy places the organism in Eukaryota, Metazoa, Chordata, Actinopteri, Characiformes, Acestrorhamphidae. The record is from RefSeq and is a predicted model, not a curated record.
AUAUAAAACUGUUAUAAAAUAACAAAUAAAACACUAAUAUUAUUAAUGACUUUAAGAUAAAUAACAAUACUGAUAAUACAUAAUCAUGAAUACUAAGUCGUACACUCAGUUGACUUUGGGCUGGAUGCUUUUGCUGGACCUGGCAACCCUGCUCUCGAGGCACCUGAGUGAAAGGUGUGGCGGCGUUUCUCCCGCGUGCGAUGGGCGUCGCUGCGGCAGCGCGCAGUUCCACCUUAAAUCCGUAUGCAGUUACAGGAGGCCGCAGGAACAACUGAAGAGAGUUUCUUCAGAGACGACUGGCUAAAGGUUAUCAGGUUAUUCAAAGACUGCCUCUAGAUGUCAACCUUUUUUCCUGACCUGCCAUAAAGCAGCUCUACAGUAACCUAACUGAUGAACAGCUGGACAAUUUGGUGAGGUGCUGCGACUGGUGAUAAAGCAUCCUCUCCACUUGCUGUUUCUUGAAGGUGGUGCAAAAGAGUCAUUUUAUUACGGAUCAAGUGUCUGAGAUGUUUGUCAACAGCAGCAGGUGCAUUUGAUUACACAAUGUUAAAUUAUUGGCCUAGGUGAAAAGUCAAGUAGAACUCUUGAAUUGGCCACAGGACAGUUCUUCAGGUAGCACAAUUCUCUUGGCACAUGCAGCUACAACAGUGUAACAGAUGUUAGGAUCCUUCUUCUGUGAACGAGGACCUUGUUCUGGGAGCCACUGAAGAAAGGUGACCGGUAUAACAGGAUGCUGUCCCCACCCUGAUCAUCUACAAAGCCAAAACAUUCCAUUAGCACAGAUCAUCAUCAUUCUGUAUUAAAAUCAUUAAAAUGUUCUAAUUUUCUAAGA